This 1062-nucleotide long non-coding RNA is filed under the name Gallus gallus (chicken). RNAcentral's name for it is "lncRNA (ENSGALG00010022113.1)". Lineage: Eukaryota; Metazoa; Chordata; Aves; Galliformes; Phasianidae. The record is from RNAcentral.
CGUUGAGCUGUAGCUCUCUAACUCCUCUGCAAGGCUCAGGAGAUGUGGGAUGCUUUGCUGUUGGCUUGAUAGGAGGAAAUGCUGCUUUCCUGUGAGUGAGUGAAGUUAACCCAAGACAUAGUUUUCAGCACAGAAACACCUUUCCAGCUCUGUUUCAUGGAGAAGAGACCCAACAGCUCCCUGCGAGCUGACCUGAAGCUGCAGGAAUAUUCUGAGGUGGAGUCACGACUAUUAAAGCAAAAACAAGAUGAUGCAAGGACGCAGCUCACUUGGUGUCAGCCUUUCCUGCGGAAACACAAAGAGGGUUUGUUGAUGCCACGUGUAGGCUGCCUCAGGUCGAGUCAUAUUUCUUUCUUUAUGGAGAUGAAGUUAGUCUUUAAGGCACCAGCUCAAAAUGGCCUUUCUUUCAUUACAAAGUUAUUUAGUUACGGCUCCAAAUGUACUAAUUUGGAGGAAAGCCUGAGUCCUCCUGAAGCUGGCAGGACUCCUUGUCAACAUGCACAAAACCCCAGAGCAGAUGGGCACAGAUUUUGGCUAAGCACAGCAGCAGUUGUUGAGUAUUACAGUCUGUCAUCUCAUCCAGGAGCAUCCCAGCAGCUGCCUUUGCUUCUCCCUUUACUGAGAGGUGUCAGUGUGCCUCUCCUUGCACCCAGCAUCGCACUGCUGCCACUGAAGUUUUGAUUUCUAUGGCCAAGAAUGUUUUCUAUUGCAAUCUCAGCUCUUGCUUUUAAAAGCCAUACAGAGAAAUGACAUACAUUCAAGUGUAGACAUGUUUCUUCAACAGCUCAUGCUUGCCCUUCCAUAACUUUCAUGUCCUAAGGAUCAUGGAAAACCUGGUAGUACAUUACUUUCAGUAGGCUGCCAGAAAGAGAGUUCAUUUAGUUUGAUGACAGAUUAAUACUGAUUCACAAAUUAAUUUUGUCUCUUUGUAUAUCAAGGGUGUCCACAACUUAUUUAAUUUGUAAUAAAUAUAAUUAUAGAAAUGAAUGAGCUAUCAAGAUUUUUAAAGUAUGAUCCAUCAAUGUUGGCAUGACUUGUAAUCCUGGUCAUUAUAAAUAAAAU